AACGAACGCUUGCGGCAGGCCUAACACAUGCAAGUCGAGCGAGAACGGUUCUUUCGGAACUUAUUAAAGCGGCGGACGGGUGAGUAACGCGUGGGAAACUGCCUUAUAGUGGGGGAUAACUAUUGGAAACGAUAGCUAAUACCGCAUACGCCCUACGGGGGAAAGAUUUAUCGCUAUAAGAUGUGCCCCGCGUUAGAUUAGUUAGUUGGUGAGGUAAUGGGCUCACCAAGCUACGAUCUAUAGCUGGUUUGAGAGAAUGAUCAGCCACAUUGGGACUGAGACACGGCCCAGACUCCUAC
This 299-nucleotide ribosomal RNA is filed under the name uncultured bacterium. RNAcentral describes it as "partial 16S ribosomal RNA". It matches the Rfam family "Bacterial small subunit ribosomal RNA", at positions 29 to 342 of the family's 1533-position model. The record is from RNAcentral.